Molecule: non-coding RNA, 163 nt
Filed under: Lepisosteus oculatus (spotted gar)
Lineage: Eukaryota; Metazoa; Chordata; Actinopteri; Semionotiformes; Lepisosteidae
Description: Eukaryotic large subunit ribosomal RNA
Rfam family: Eukaryotic large subunit ribosomal RNA
Source: Rfam by way of RNAcentral
UAGCUGGGUUGUUGCAGCCAAGCAUUCAUACUGUACAAACAUUGCUUUUUAAUCAUUCAACGUCAGCUCUUGCUGUCAUUGUGAAGCAGAAUUCACCAAACCUAGGAUUGUUCACCCACUAACAGGGAACAUGACCAGGGCUUAGACUGUCACGAGAAGGGAU